GUUGAGUUGAAAAAAAGGAGAAGGCGAAGUUUACUUGUGAGAAGGAGAGUGUUAGCUUUGCUUUGGUGUUUAAAGCAAGAGAAGCAGAUUCGUCACGUAUUGGUAGAACAGAGUUCCGACGUACCAAAGCUUAUCUAAAGUUAACGAAUUUUGGUAGGUUUGUUCCUAACGCGUGUACGUUAAUUCUCCUGUUUACAGAAGUGAAUUCGGAUUAAUACUCAGUGAGUUAUAUGCAGUUUGGUGAGACGAAUUUUCUCUGUUGCGAACUGGGAUCAGCGAAGUUUGUAAGUGCGAUCGCGGUUUUAUCGCUUCUCUGAUCGGCACCAAUUUUUGUGGGAAGCUUUGUGACGUCUGGAUCUUGUUUUUCACCGUAUGGAUUAAGAAGUUAACGGUUGGUUUAUGUUUUAGGGCUUCGUUUCUGCCGCUGUAGUUUUUCUGCUGUUUUUGUCCUUUUGGUUCUUAGAGAUUUUUGUUUGUGUGGUUUGUUGUAGGGCGUUGUUUUGCUGUUGCAGUCGCGAAGAGAGGUUUUCCUGG
Molecule: long non-coding RNA, 534 nt
Filed under: Capsella rubella
Lineage: Eukaryota; Viridiplantae; Streptophyta; Magnoliopsida; Brassicales; Brassicaceae
Description: long non-coding RNA (CRUB_LNC002991)
Source: RNAcentral